This is an RNA transcript of Solanum pennellii, 3027 nucleotides long. It is a transcript of the gene named protein TPX2-like, with no coding region annotated. The record is from RefSeq and is a predicted model, not a curated record. Lineage: Eukaryota; Viridiplantae; Streptophyta; Magnoliopsida; Solanales; Solanaceae. The transcript is spliced from 9 exons.
AUAAUGCAUCAACAAAUUUCUUGAUUAAAAAAAUAACGGAUUUACAAAACCAUGUAGGAUUCAAUACAAAGCCAGAUUUAGGCGGUGAAUUUGGCGGAAAUAUUAAUGGUUAAUAUCGUGGGGAAAGUUUAACCAUAAAUGGGCUGGAACAGUGAAUAACAAAAAGGUAGUCACAUAAUUAUAGGAUUCAGAACUAGAUCCCACACACACUAUACCAUGAGGUUAGAAAGUUAAUAGUACUUGCAGGCACUACACCAUUUUAGGUCUACAGCCACACUAAUUCUGAACUAAGCUUUUAAAGUGUUGCCUAAAGUAUUUUUGGGAACGUUUUUAAAGUGUAGCAAUAUUUUUUAACUUUUAACAACGAUAAUAUUAGCAACACUUGAAAAGCGUACUUUUUAAUGAUAUAAGCUACACUUUGUAAGUGUUAUUACAAUAUGAUACAAUUGGCAACAAAUUUUUACAUAUAUGGCCAUACUUUUAAAGUGUACUAUUUUUAUCAUUGUAAAAACAACACUUUAUAAGUGUGGCCCUAAAAUUUUCACCAAAAUUUUAUAUUCCCUCCAAUAAUUUUAACUCUCCCAUUUUAAUUGGCCAUAAAAAUAAACAUUAAUAAUAAAUUAUAAAAAUAUUAAGACAAAAAGAUGCUCUCUUUCACUUCACUGUAGAACGCGUCAAGCUGAAGAGAGAGCUGAAGAACUGAUCAAGUUGAAGAACUCAUCUUUCAAUAUGGGCAUUAGAUUGUCAAGAAAGAUGUUAUAUUUCUCGCUUCAGCAGUUCCACGAAGUAACAAUGUUACCAUCAUCUAAUUGGAGUCACUUUCAGUUGGGUCGGAAUCGAAUAUCGAAAUGGUGUUCGAUUCUAUGCAGAAACUUGAUAAAACAAUUGAGGAAGAGGUUGUUAAUUGGAGGACAAAGCUAAUGGAAUGGAUGAUCCCUGUCUGAUGUGUUGGUGAAUGAAUCGCCAGUGUGGAUGCUGACAGUCAUAGGUCUAUUGAUGUGGCUGCAAGAAUGGCCCUUGUUGAAUACAACACUGAAAAUAUUGAUUCACCCAUUUUAACCGUUAAGGAUGCUGUUGAAAAAUCUAGCUUUUGGGUGCAACACUUCUUCCAUUAAUUCUGCAAGAGCUGUAAUGGAAAGGAGAGAACAUGUAUACUUUGAUUUGCCUUCAGCUGGUGCAAUAUUUAUGCGUUUAGAGCUGCCCCAAAAUGAAACUUGUUCGAUGUUGUUUGAACUCCCCAUGUACUUUCGCUCGCCUUCACCUUAGGAAGAAAAGUCAUGAUCUUGAACUCAAUCCCCAACUAGAUGACAGUUAAGGCCAAGACGAAGGUCAUCUAAGUAGAAGACACUUCAUGGCAGAACUAGGAGCAGCUGAUCUAUUGCCUAUUCAUCCUUCACAUGCUUCUGAUGUUUCAUCUCCUCCUGAUUCCAUGGUAAUAUAUAUAUAAUGCUUCAAGUUUUUAUCUUUUAUUAUUCAUAUUUCGUACUUGAUUAGGACAGAUUUGUUUAUAUAUGUUAUAUUAGGUACUGGCAACUUUCUUAUUUUUAACACUAUUAAUUUUUUUAUAUUGGAGUAGUGUUUUUCUUCAUUUAUUGUAAUAUAUUUGAAUAUCUUUAGACUAAACCUGAUUUUAGGAGCUUGUAUGUAGUCUAUAUUAAGGAAUAUUUUAUCACGUAACAUGCCUAUGUAUUUCUGCUAGUUCUGGCAUCAUGUUGUUGCAGGAUGAGUUAGAGACAGAACUUAAAAGAAUUAGAAGAGCAACUGCUUCAACCUGUAGCUACAGUUUCUGCUGCUCCAGCCCAUGUUCCUGCAGGAAGCAAGCUGCUCGGCCCGUUCCUUAGAAGCGUACAGCUGAAGAAGAUGAACUUGCUGAAUGAAGUUGCUUUUUGAUGAAGUGAAAGAGGAGCAGAGUAAGAGAGGAGACUAUUCACUGAACUUCUACAGAAACAGAUUGAAAAAGAGAGGUCAAGAGUUCCUAAAGAAACUCCAUUUCUUUACACAACUGAUUACCCAAUGAUUCCACCAAAACCAUAACCAAAGCAUUGUACAAAACCAGAACCUUUCCAACUAGAGAGUCUGGUCAGGCAUGAAAGACAGAUGCAGAGGGAAUUUGAAGAACGGCGAAGAUUGGAAAAUGAAGAAGCAAUGAUGAGGACUUUUAUAGCGCAACCAAUCUUGAUCGAGGAUCCAAUUCUACAUCCUGAGAAAGUACGUAAGCCCCUCACUAAAGUUCAGGAAUUUAAUGUACACGUGGAUCAUCGUGCACCAGAUAGAGCUGAGUUUGAUAAGAAGGUAAUUCUUUAGCUAUUCACGUGCAACUUUCUCUUAGAGCUAAGCCUAUAUCCACUCAUGUUGUGUAAGCUUUUGCACAUAUUAAGGAGAAAGAAAUGAUGAAUCAAAGAUACAGAGAGGAGGCAGAAGCUACAAGAAUGGUAUGCAUGUUAUAAACUAUGGUGUUAUUUCGAGCAACACUAAUGAUUUCAAUAGACUUAUUUUUAUGUCUGGAUGCAUUGUGGUGGUUAGAUGGAGGAAGAUAUGGCUCUGAAACAACUACGGAAAACCUUGGUGCCUCAUGCAAGACCUUUGCCUAAAUUUGAUCAUCCUUUCCUGCCACAAAUUUAUUGAAAAAUUCAUGCUAUUCUUUGUUUUUCUUCUUUACAUAUUGAAAUUUGGAACAACUACUGAAACUUUUUUUCACACACAGGUCAUCCAAACAAGUGACAAUCUAAGAUCCCCCAAGUUUGUUCUUAAAAGGCAAGAAAGGAGAAUAUACCAGCUAUAAAUUGUUGGUGUGUUAAUUUGGCUUGCACCAUGAUGAAAGCAAAAACGAUCUCACAAUCAAAACAAAGAAAGUAGCAUUGUGUAUUUUACUAUGUGGAUAUGUUGUGUCUUAUCUCUUCAGAUCAAACGUCUAGUUCACCUUCACAUUUCUGGUUGUGAUGUCGUAGGAAUAUAUUGUUGUGUAUUUGACUAUGUGGAUUUUAAAUCUAUAGCUUUGAUUUAUUUAUUGGCUAAUUUUGAGUUUUA